Molecule: long non-coding RNA, 2436 nt
Organism: Epinephelus fuscoguttatus (brown-marbled grouper)
Lineage: Eukaryota; Metazoa; Chordata; Actinopteri; Perciformes; Serranidae
Exons: 5
Source: RefSeq, a predicted model, not a curated record
GCAGAGUGGGAGGGGACGGAGCUGUGCUGGGGGAACCAGCCCGCAGGGUGCUGCUGUGACAUGUCAGCUCUGAGUCCCUGAAGUCAGCAUGUUGCUCAAUGCUGCAGGUAUAAAUCAGAGAAGUUCCUCCUGCUCUUGCUGCAAAAUCAGUGAACAUACAGGGCGGAAUGGUGGUUAGCGUUGUCGCCUCACAGCAAGACGGUUCCGGUUUCAAAUGUGCCAGCCAGAUGGGACUGUUCUCCCUGUGAUAGUCCGACGAACUGUCCAGUGUGCACAACGUCAGCUGGAAUAUGGGAUAACCUCCCCUCUCAUGACCCUAAACAGGAUGAGCAGCCACUUAUCCAGGGUCAGGUCGCAGGGGCAGCAGGCUGAGCAAGGUACUCCAGGUGUCGCUCUCCCAAGCCACACUUUCCAGCUCCUCCUGGAGAUCCUGAGACAUUCCCAGGCCUGAUGGGAUACAUAAUCCCUCCAGGAUAUUGUGGGUCUACCCCACAGCCUCCUAGCAGUUGGAUGUGCCUCGAAAACCUCUAAUGGGAGGUGCUCAGGAUAAGUUGCCCAAACCACCUCAACUGGCCCUGUUGAUGUGAAGGAGCAGCAGCUCUAUUCUAGCUCCCCACAGAUAAAAACAAAAACCAUGAACCAUCAACAAAAGUAUGAAAAGUAUUAAAAUUUCAACUUCAUGACAGUGCCAGAUGAAAUGUCGGGAUCGUCAGAGUUGUUACAGUUCAUCCUAUGGAAGACAUGACAUGUAGAGGUAAAAUUAAGUUCAGGGUAUUAAAACUAUCUGUACUAAAUUUCUUGGCAUUCCUCUUAACAGUUGUCAAGACAUUUCUUUAAAAAAACUAACAUACUGACAGACAGAGUUUGCCAUCCACAGAGCCACACUGCUUGCGUGACUAAAGAUAAACAAAACCAGAAAUAUUCUGGCCUUUGGGGCUUGUAUGCUAAUAUGGACAUUCACUUUAAACCAAGGCCAGUAAAAAAAAAAGCUCACUGAUCAGGGGCUUAAGCAAAAAUCCGUAACACCUGAGUAUCAUCUUCAACAAAGAAGAUGUUGUGCUGUAAUUUGGAUGCCUCACUGGCAGAAAAGAUCUCUCCCAUUUGUCAGUGGAUAUCCUAGUAUCCUCUCCGCCCCACUUCUUGAAUCUUUCAUUUCCCCAGCCAAUUACAGAGUGAGUCACUGAGCCGAGUGUGAUUUUUCUACUGCAGAGGGAAUGAUCUCAUCGAUCUCAUUCCUGGGAAUCUGCUUUUCAGACAACUGCAGGCAUGUGGAGCUCUGUCUGAAGGCCUGAGUCAAUUUGAGUCAGACUCUAACCUAUACCAGUUACCGCGUAACACCAGUGGCACUGAUGUCAAACCUCAGGUGUCAUCGGCAGUGCAUCAUGAGUGACACUGCUUUUGAAGUCUUGUAUAAACUUUGCUCAAUGAGCUGCUGUGACGCAGCAGAGAACGCAAAGAAAAUAACAAAUGAUGUAAUGAUGCAAACUGUGUGAUCACUUUACAGGAUGAAAACAAACACGUUAGAGAAUGUGAGUCAGAUGAUGUCUCUCCAAAGUCACUGUGGUGUAGUCAGAUUGAUUCGUUGUACACAAACCUAGAACUCUCCUUUCAGGACUUUGGAUCCAGGCAAAUUAACUGACAAAUAAUCAAUCAACAAUAAAAGUUGAGGAAGAACAUUGAAUAGCUAAAAAACACACACAUGACACAUAAACAAAGCCAGUGAUCAUGUUUCAGAAGGUGUCACCAGACAGUAUUUACAGACUGCUCCUUUAGUUGUUAGCCAGGGUACAUCAAAGGAUGAAUAACCACAGAACAAGAAAGGGUAAGGGGGCUGUGGUCUGCACUGGAGAUUUAUUGAGCAGAUGAACAGGCUGACGUUUUGGAUAUGCGUCUUCUUCAAAGCAUGUUCCCAAUAAAUCUGAGUCUAACUACAGAGAGCUCCCAAUCCUCUGUUCUUUUUCCCCGGAUGGUCAUCAUUCAACAAACCCCAGGCAGCUUCUGAGAGGCCCUUUUAAAUCCCUACAAAUCUAUCGACUCUCUGAUUUUGCCUCUGUGUUACGUAGCCAAGAAGAACCUGAGGGGAAGCAGGUAAGACAAGCGGUGUUGUAAUCAUGAGCUGUCUGACUCUGUCUGGACUGUCUCUGCUGUGUGGGAGAGUGAUGUCAUCUAAAUGGUUGCACAAUCGUUGAUUCCUCAGAUCUGUCAUCGAGAAUGAAGAGAGUCUAAUAAUUAUUAAUGUAGUCAUACAAUAUCAAGUAAUCAGAUGGGACCAAGUCAUUGUUUUGCAGGUCACAACUAAAGCCCUGUGUCCACCAAGCAGUACGGUACAGUUCAGUUCGUAGUGCAUUUUGUCCGUUUCCACUGUGAAAAGUUGUGGAUGUUACCAAUGGAACCGUUCUGUACUGUCCCCAUUUUUGGUCACCCUUCUGUCAGAGU